This 631-nucleotide long non-coding RNA is filed under the name Rattus norvegicus (Norway rat). RNAcentral's name for it is "long non-coding RNA NONRATT002935". The record is from RNAcentral. Lineage: Eukaryota; Metazoa; Chordata; Mammalia; Rodentia; Muridae.
CAGGAUGAUAUGUUCAAGUUCAUUUCAUUUGCCUAUGAAUUUCACGAAGUCAUUGUUUUUGAUAGCCGAGUAGUACUCCAUUGUAUAGAAGUACCACAUUUUUUUAAUCCAUUCCCCUGUUGAAGGGCAUCUGGGUUCUUCCCAGCUUCUGGCUAUUAUAAACAAGGCUGCUAUAAAUAUAGUGGAGCACGUGUCUUUGUUAUAUGUUGGGGCAUCUUUUGGUAUAUGCCCGAGAGAGGUAUAGCUGGGUCCUCAGGUAGUGUAAUGUUCAAUUUUCUGAGGAACCUCCAGACUGAUUUCCAGAAUGGUUGUACCAGUUUGCAAUCCCACCAACAAUGGAGGAGUGUUCCUCUUUCUCCACAUCCUUGCCAGCAUCUGCUGUCACCUGAGUUUUUGAUCUUAGCCAUUUUGAUUGAUGUGACGUGGAAUCUCAGGGUUGUUUUGAUUUGCAUUUCCCUGAUGACUAAGGAUGUUGAACAUUUCUUUAGGUGCUUCUCAGCCAUUCGAUAUUCUUCAGAUGAGAAUAUUUUUUUAGCUCUGUACCCCAUUUUUUAAUAGGGUUAUUUGGCUCUCUGGAGUUCACCCUCUUAUCUGAAUACGCACAAAACAAAUGGAUAAAAACAGGAGGCAA